This 617-nucleotide ribosomal RNA is filed under the name uncultured bacterium. RNAcentral's name for it is "bacterial SSU rRNA". It matches the Rfam family "Bacterial small subunit ribosomal RNA", at positions 338 to 951 of the family's 1533-position model. The record is from RNAcentral.
CCUACGGGAGGCAGCAGUGGGGAAUUUUGGACAAUGGGCGCAAGCCUGAUCCAGCAAUGCCGCGUGAGUGAAGAAGGCCUUCGGGUUGUAAAGCUCUUUUGUCAGGGAAGAAACGGUUGGGGCUAAUAUCCUCGGCUAAUGACGGUACCUGAAGAAUAAGCACCGGCUAACUACGUGCCAGCAGCCGCGGUAAUACGUAGGGUGCAAGCGUUAAUCGGAAUUACUGGGCGUAAAGCGUGCGCAGGCGGUUUUGUAAGUCUGUCGUGAAAGCCCCGGGCUUAACCUGGGAAUUGCGAUGGAGACUGCAAGGCUUGAAUCUGGCAGAGGGGGGUAGAAUUCCACGUGUAGCAGUGAAAUGCGUAGAGAUGUGGAGGAACACCGAUGGCGAAGGCAGCCCCCUGGGUCAAGAUUGACGCUCAUGCACGAAAGCGUGGGGAGCAAACAGGAUUAGAUACCCUGGUAGUCCACGCCCUAAACGAUGUCUACUAGUUGUCGGGUCUUAAUUGACUUGGUAACGCAGCUAACGCGUGAAGUAGACCGCCUGGGGAUACGGUCGCAAGAUUAAAACUCAAAGGAUUGACCGGNNGAGAGNGACGAGACGACGACGAGGGAGGAGG